UAGUCCGAUUGCAUAUUUGAUUGUGAAAAAAACUUCGAUCUACCUCUAUUUAGGAACAAGGGCCUUCAACCUCGUUUAAGAAUGAGGUUCAGCUUGAAGUUGACGUCCGUGUUUAAGAAUAGAGGCCUUCACCUACUGAAGAGCAGGUCGGCAUGGAGUUGACAUCCAUUUUUAAAAAUAGGGGCCUUCACCUACUGAAGAGC
Molecule: long non-coding RNA, 203 nt
Filed under: Elaeis guineensis (African oil palm)
Lineage: Eukaryota; Viridiplantae; Streptophyta; Magnoliopsida; Arecales; Arecaceae
Description: long non-coding RNA (EGUI_LNC026941)
Source: RNAcentral